GCUGACAGCAGGGCUGGCCGCU
Molecule: microRNA, 22 nt
Filed under: Homo sapiens (human)
Lineage: Eukaryota; Metazoa; Chordata; Mammalia; Primates; Hominidae
Description: hsa-miR-4526
Source: miRBase by way of RNAcentral